Molecule: ribosomal RNA, 497 nt
Filed under: uncultured Actinomycetes bacterium
Lineage: Bacteria; Bacillati; Actinomycetota; Actinomycetes
Description: bacterial SSU rRNA
Rfam family: Bacterial small subunit ribosomal RNA
Source: RNAcentral
AGAGUUUGAUCCUGGCUCAGGACGAACGCUGGCGGCGUGCUUAACACAUGCAAGUCGAGCGGAAAGGCCCUUCGGGGUACUCGAGCGGCGAACGGGUGAGUAACACGUGAGUAACCUGCCCUAGGCUUUGGGAUAACCCUCGGAAACGGGGGCUAAUACCGGAUAUUCAUUCUUGGCGGCAUCGUCGAGUGUGGAAAGUUUUUCGGCCUGGGAUGGGCUCGCGGCCUAUCAGCUUGUUGGUGGGGUGAUGGCCUACCAAGGCGACGACGGGUAGCCGGCCUGAGAGGGCGACCGGCCACACUGGGACUGAGACACGGCCCAGACUCCUACGGGAGGCAGCAGUGGGGAAUAUUGCACAAUGGGCGGAAGCCUGAUGCAGCGACGCCGCGUGAGGGAUGAAGGCCUUCGGGUUGUAAACCUCUUUCGACAGGGACGAAGCGCAAGUGACGGUACCUGGAGAAGAAGCGCCGGCCAACUACGUGCCAGCAGCCGCGGUA